This 108-nucleotide ribosomal RNA is filed under the name Vibrio splendidus. RNAcentral's name for it is "partial 16S ribosomal RNA". The stretch from base 1 to 97 matches the Rfam family "Bacterial small subunit ribosomal RNA", at positions 1439 to 1533 of the family's 1533-position model. The record is from RNAcentral. Lineage: Bacteria; Pseudomonadati; Pseudomonadota; Gammaproteobacteria; Vibrionales; Vibrionaceae.
CCUUUCGGGGAGGACGCUCACCACUUUGUGGUUCAUGACUGGGGUGAAGUCGUAACAAGGUAGCCCUAGGGGAACCUGGGGCUGGAUCACCUCCUUAUACGAAGAUAC